Molecule: ribosomal RNA, 751 nt
Filed under: Halomonas sp. MO18
Lineage: Bacteria; Pseudomonadati; Pseudomonadota; Gammaproteobacteria; Oceanospirillales; Halomonadaceae
Description: bacterial SSU rRNA
Rfam family: Bacterial small subunit ribosomal RNA
Source: RNAcentral
GAACUCCUACGGGAGGCAGCAGUGGGGAAUAUUGGACAAUGGGCGAAAGCCUGAUCCAGCCAUGCCGCGUGUGUGAAGAAGGCUUUCGGGUUGUAAAGCACUUUCAGUGAGGAAGAAGGCCUUGGGGCUAAUACCCCCGAGGAAGGACAUCACUCACAGAAGAAGCACCGGCUAACUCCGUGCCAGCAGCCGCGGUAAUACGGAGGGUGCGAGCGUUAAUCGGAAUUACUGGGCGUAAAGCGCGCGUAGGCGGCGUGAUAAGCCGGUUGUGAAAGCCCCGGGCUCAACCUGGGAACGGCAUCCGGAACUGUCAGGCUAGAGUGCAGGAGAGGAAGGUAGAAUUCCCGGUGUAGCGGUGAAAUGCGUAGAGAUCGGGAGGAAUACCAGUGGCGAAGGCGGCCUUCUGGACUGACACUGACGCUGAGGUGCGAAAGCGUGGGUAGCAAACAGGAUUAGAUACCCUGGUAGUCCACGCCGUAAACGAUGUCGACUAGCCGUUGGGGUCCUUGAGACCUUUGUGGCGCAGUUAACGCGAUAAGUCGACCGCCUGGGGAGUACGGCCGCAAGGUUAAAACUCAAAUGAAUUGACGGGGGCCCGCACAAGCGGUGGAGCAUGUGGUUUAAUUCGAUGCAACGCGAAGAACCUUACCUACCCUUGACAUCGUGCGAACUUUCCAGAGAUGGAUUGGUGCCUUCGGGAGCGCACAGACAGGUGCUGCAUGGCUGUCGUCAGCUCGUGUUGUGAAAUGUU